UAUGGUAGGGGGUGUUUGUGUUGUAUUUUGCUGGCACCCAGACGAAGUGGGAUUGACAAAGUGGAAACAGUGGUUCACAAAGUGCGGCCUGCGGACAACCUGUUGUCUGAGGGUGGGAGCGGGAGGUCUUCGAGCUGGUCCAAAAUGCGAGUCACUGACACAAUAUGCCACGGUCGAAGCCAUGUGAGAGAACCGGCCAGAACCAACAUCCCCAGCACUGGCCUCGUAUCACACACCCGGACCAUUUCCUGCCUGCAUGGCACGAGGCGUUAAAAGCAGGGGCAACAUCAAAUGUAGUUUUAUGAGCAAGAUUUUUGUUACUGUUCAUUUUGUUUUAUUAAUAUAGAUGUGAAAUAA
Molecule: long non-coding RNA, 357 nt
Organism: Carcharodon carcharias (great white shark)
Lineage: Eukaryota; Metazoa; Chordata; Chondrichthyes; Lamniformes; Lamnidae
Exons: 2
Source: RefSeq, a predicted model, not a curated record